UGGGGAAUUUUGGACAAUGGGCGCAAGCCUGAUCCAGCCAUGCCGCGCGCGGGAAGAAGGCCUUCGGGUUGUAAACCGCUUUUGUCAGGGAAGAAAUCUUCUGAGUUAAUACCUCGGGAGGAUGACGGUACCUGAAGAAUAAGCACCGGCUAACUACGUGCCAGCAGCCGCGGUAAUACGUAGGGUGCAAGCGUUAAUCGGAAUUACUGGGCGUAAAGCGUGCGCAGGCGGUUUUGUAAGACAGAGGUGAAAUCCCCGGGCUCAACCUGGGAACUGCCUUUGUGACUGCAAGGCUUGAGUGCGGCAGAGGGGGAUGGAAUUCCGCGUGUAGCAGUGAAAUGCGUAGAUAUGCGGAGGAACACCGAUGGCGAAGGCAAUCCCCUGGGCCUGCACUGACGCUCAUGCACGAAAGCGUGGGGAGCAAACAGGAUUAGAUACCCUGGUAGUCCACGCCCUAAACGAUGUCAACUGGUUGUUGGGAAGGUUCCUUCUCAGUAACGUAGCUAACGCGUGAAGUUGACCGCCUGGGGAGUACGGCCGCAAGGUUGAAACUUAAAUGAAUUGACGGGGUCAUAGCUG
Molecule: ribosomal RNA, 579 nt
Filed under: uncultured bacterium
Lineage: Bacteria
Description: partial 16S ribosomal RNA
Rfam family: Bacterial small subunit ribosomal RNA
Source: RNAcentral